This 47-nucleotide non-coding RNA is filed under the name Cinara cedri. It matches the Rfam family "Histone 3' UTR stem-loop". From Rfam's summary of the family: The mRNAs of metazoan histone genes lack a poly-A tail. 3' end processing occurs at a site between a highly conserved stem-loop (modelled by this family) and a purine rich region around 20 nts downstream (the histone downstream element, or HDE). Lineage: Eukaryota; Metazoa; Arthropoda; Insecta; Hemiptera; Aphididae. The record is from RNAcentral.
AAAACGGUCCUUUUAAGGACCACCAAAUAAAUAUAAUAUAAGUUCAU